UGUUAUUGUCACCUCGCCAGUCGAACUCAGCGCGAGCUGAGUCAGGGAACCCGGUGAGAAUCCGGGACUGACGCGCAGCGGUGAGGGUGACGGGCGGAGCACGAAGCCACUGGGUGCGAACCUGGGAAGGCGCUCCGUCCGGGUGAUCCCGAGUCCGAAGACCUGCUGGCCGUGGACCUCGUGU
This 184-nucleotide non-coding RNA is filed under the name Saccharomonospora viridis. RNAcentral also lists the same sequence under 1 other name. The record is from RNAcentral. Lineage: Bacteria; Bacillati; Actinomycetota; Actinomycetes; Pseudonocardiales; Pseudonocardiaceae.